RNAcentral lists this long non-coding RNA (1183 nucleotides) under Monodelphis domestica (gray short-tailed opossum). Its description in RNAcentral is "lncRNA (ENSMODG00000037051.1)". The record is from RNAcentral. Lineage: Eukaryota; Metazoa; Chordata; Mammalia; Didelphimorphia; Didelphidae.
AUGUUACUGUUGUUAGAGCAUGAGCUCCCCGGGGACAAUCUUGGCGCCCCCAUGUUUGGCACAGCUCCUGGCAUACAGAAAGAGCAGCAUAAAUACUUGGGGACUUGUUCUUAUCAGAGGAUCAUAAACCACAGAUUUGGUGCUGAAGGGGCCCUCAGAGUCCAUCUAGUCCAAACCCCUCCGUUAUACAACGAAGAUGACUUGCCCUGGAUGGAAACACAGGAAAACUGGCAUUCCAACACAGAAACCAAUGACAGUCUUUCAAUUUGCCUAGCACUGCCCAAGGGGGGCAGGGGACAGGGCAAUGGCCUUUGGAGUUGUCACUUACUCUAGUAAGUGACUUGUGAACUCUCAUACUUAAUGGACUCCCAGAUUGAAGGUAAACGUAGAGAGAGAACAGCUCAUUUCCAAUCCAAGAAGCAACUAAAAGUAAGUAAAAUUUAAUAUCUUCCUGUGAAAGCCAUAAAUUAGGGCAAGAAAAUGAAUGAAAUGCACUUAGAUAUUCUCAUUAAGAGAAAGUAUUGCUUAUAGUCAAAAGAUACAUAAUUAUAUCCUAACUGUUGUUAAAUUUCACCAUUACUUUCCCUCAAAUUUAAGAUCCUGACAGUUAAAGGUGCCUGUAAAAUUUGAGAUUUUAAAUUGAUAACAGUAGUGAUUUUAUAGCCAUUUUUUAUUAAGUUGAAUCCAAAAGGCAUAUUAAGGAUUUCUAUUCAUUUUAAGUCAUUAGAAAACUAACUCCUCUUCUGAUAAGUGGCAUACAUAAAAUUUUAAUUACUUAAUUGGACACAAUAAUUCAAUAACCUACAGGAUCGAGAUGUCAAUUGCCAAGUAAAUUCUUCUUUAAAAGAAGUAUACAAAUAAUUCUCUUACAUAAAAGAGAUGAACUCUGAGAAGAUAACUUCUUCACCAAAGUCAUCCCAUUUACUGAAAUCGGCCAUAUUCUACAUUAAAGAAUUAGAAGAGACUUUAAAUUUUGCACUUGUACUGGAUAAGCUAAAAAUAUAACAAUAUUGCUAUUAAUGGAUCCUGUAUGAUCUUAAAAAAAAGUGCUAAUAUAUUUAAGAAAAAGUCAGUGGAGAGAGUUUGAACAAAUAGGAACUAGAGAAGAAUGGGUAAAAAGUUAAAUGAAAGUUGCCAUCUAUUUGCACUAACACAGCAUGAAUAAAGAGUUUGAAAGUAAACA